CAUUUCAUUAAAGGUCAUUGGGCGGAAUCCGACCCGGUCGCGGACACGAAUGAAAAUGAUAUCAAAUGAAAGAGUAUAAAUUUACUUAACAUUAGGUAUGAUUAUUAUUUUUUUAAUCCAUGGGACAAAAAAGUUAGAACCAAAAAUAGACGAAAUUAAGUUGCAACUUUGACAUACUUCCCAAAUCGAUUAAUGAAGCUGAAAAUUGGCAUAGAUGUUAACAACAUGAUUAUAAACAAAAUGUCAAAAAUCCCCAUCGAUUCAACUUUUACCAAAUGAAAUAUUCAAGGUCAAAAGGUCAAAAUUACGGUUUUUUCUAUUUUUCUCGAAAAGGGCAAGUUUUAUCGUACUAAUAUGUUCAAUAGAGUUGUAGAUCAUACAAUUUUUUACAAAAAUGGUUCAUCACUUUUACCCUUACGACUUUCCAUUCGUGAGAUAUCGCGGUUUUAAUGAAAUAAAACGUAUUUUAUAUAAUACUCGCGAGGUUUUACUGCUGCUCGGCUCCUAUUAAUUGUAGGUAGCAUGAUGUUUUAUAGCUUAUAGCAUAAUUCGAUAAAUGGACUAAUUAACAAAAAAAAAACUAUUCGAUUCGGACUACUAGUUCUGGAGAUUAGCGUGUUCUAUAAAUUGUUCAGCUUAAAAUAUUAGUACUACUUUUCCGCAGUUUCAAUCGAUGCUGGCCUUCUAUUAAGCAUAGCCUAAUGUUUCAUUAAUUAUAACCUACCUCAAUAAUUAAUGGACUAUCAAACAAAAAAGGAAUAAUUCGAUUCGAUGUUGUAGUUCUGGAGGUUUGCGCGUUCAAAGAUACAAACUCUUUAGCUUAUAUAUUAAGUUACUAAGUAUUCCGGCGCUGUUUCAAUCGCUCUGCUCAGUACUUGUAGACCAUUAUUAUAUUGUGCUGAAUAAUCCAUUUAUCCAGGAAGCUUAUAGGCUAUAAAAUAUCACGCUAUGAUGAUAUACUAGGAGCCGAGCAGCGAGUAAAACCGCGGGAGUGGUACUUACGCGCUAAUCUCCAGAACUAAUACUGCGAUUUUUUUUUGGUUUUGGAUAGUCUACUUAUCGAGGAAGGUUAAGCUAUAAAAUAUUACACGACGGUCAACAGGGGCCGAGCAGCGGAUGAGACCAAGCAGGAGUUUUACUAUUAUUUGAAGCUGAAGAGUUUGUUUGAACGCACUAAUGUCUAGAACUACGGGUUCACACCAAAUUAUUAUUUUGUGUUGAAUAAGUCCAUGUAUCGAGAAAGGCUAUACGCUAUAAAACAUCUCGCUACAAUUCAUAGAAGUUGAGUAGCAGAUAAAACUGUGCGGAAGUAGUACUAAUAUUUAAAGCAGAAGAAUUUGUUUGAACACGCUAAUCUCAAGAACUAUUGACCUGCAUCGAAUUAUUCUUUUUGUGUUAAAUAGUCCAUUUAUUGACUACAAUCAAUAGGAGCAGGUAAAAUCGCGCAGGAGAUAGCGAGUCAAACUCAUUGAGUUAUGUAAACUAUGAUUUAUUUAUUUAAAACCGUGAUAUCUCACGAAUGAAAAGUCGUAAGACUAAAAAUGAUAAACUAUUUUUAUAGAAAAUUUUAUGAUCUACAACUAUGUCGAACAUAUUUUAAUGAUAGAACUUACCGUUUUCGAGAAAAAUGAAAAAAACCAUAAUUUUGACCUUUUAACCUUGAAUAUUUUUUUUACCAAAAGUGAGAUCGAUGGGGAUUUUUGACAUUUUGUUUAUAAUGGUGCACUUAACGUCUAUGCUAUUUUUCAGCUCUAUGCGAAUUAUGUUAAGGAUAUUAAUCACACCAAAUAAAUAAUUAUGUAAAAGUUUAUUUUUCUCCACUCUCCCACAUCCCACAAGAAAGCGACCCUUACCAUGAUAAACUAGACACAUUUUAUUCAUAUAUCCUGAUAAUUUCAUUUCUGUCCGCCGUGGGUUUUUUUCCCAUACAUUUUGCCCAUUGACCUUUGUAUA
This is a long non-coding RNA of Spodoptera frugiperda (fall armyworm), 1953 nucleotides long. RefSeq lists it as uncharacterized. Lineage: Eukaryota; Metazoa; Arthropoda; Insecta; Lepidoptera; Noctuidae. The record is from RefSeq and is a predicted model, not a curated record. The transcript is spliced from 2 exons.